Molecule: ribosomal RNA, 497 nt
Filed under: uncultured bacterium
Lineage: Bacteria
Description: partial 16S ribosomal RNA
Rfam family: Bacterial small subunit ribosomal RNA
Source: RNAcentral
GAUGAACGCUGGCGGCGUGCCUAAUACAUGCAAGUCGAGCGAACGGACGAGAAGCUUGCUUCUCUGAUGUUAGCGGCGGACGGGUGAGUAACACGUGGAUAACCUACGUAUAAGACUGGGAUAACUUCGGGAAACCGGAGCUAAUACCGGAUAAUAUUUUGAACCGCAUGGUUCAAAAGUGAAAGACGGUCUUGCUGUCACUUAUAGAUGGAUAUACGCUGCAUUAGCUAGUUGGUACGGUAACGGGUUACCAAGGCAACGAUGCAUAACCGACCUGAGAGGGUCAACGGCCGCACUGGAAUUGAGACUCGGUCCAGACUCCUCCGGAACGCCGCAGUAGGGAAUCUUCCUCCAUUGGCGAAAGCCUGACGGAGCAACGCCGCGUGAGUAAUGAAGAUCUUCGGCUCUUAAAACUCUGUUAUUACCGAAGAACAUAUGUGUAAGUAACUGUGCACAUCUUGACGGUACCUCAUCAGAAAGCCACGGCUAACUCCGUG